ACAGGCUUUGGAGGCCCAUGUUUAGUGGAUUCCAGUCAGAAGUGCAGAGAAUAGCCGUCUUUGACACAGCUGUGGGUGUCUUGCUACGCCUUGCUGGAUCUUGAAAACCCCUGAAACCCACUCAAGGAGCCGAGGCCUUCUUAAUGGCACAGAAGUGGAACCUUCGUCUAUGAAGUGUGGAACUGUGGGUUGGUGUCACCGCUCCUCUGCUGGUGUAGAUCAGUUGGGAUGCCCAGUAUUGUGAAUGACAGUCCUGAGAGUCACUGCAGUCCUCAGGAGGGGAGGCUCUAUCUCAGAGGUCAGGUGAACUGAAGCUGAGAGAGGGUCGAGCAGCUUCGACACCCAGGACUGCACUGGAGAUGGGGCUGCCCUCCAAGAUGCCAGCGCAAGUCUGUGUGGCAGUGGGCAGAAGCAUGCGCUUGUGUGCACGGCAGCGUCAGUGUGUGAAUGAGUGAAUGUGUUUGAGUGUGUCUCCCAGUGCCUGGUGUGCGAGCACAAUGCCCCGCUGUUUUGCUGUGCCCUCCCUCACUGCUCCUCGUCAACCUCUGUCCCAGCCCUGCAUCCCCUCACAUCCAUCCGACCCAGGCAGCCAUUUUCUCCUCUUUUUUGACUUUGACUCACUUGUUCAUUUAUGAGAGCUUUCGCUUUUCUUCCACCCUCGUCUUGCCUUUUCAAUCUGUUUAUGGCUUUCAUUGAAGUUUUCGAGUGUAAGGAGUCAGUCCUUGUGCAGUCUCUUGUUCACUGUUCUGACUGAGAAAAUGAGGUCUAUUGGAUAUUUUUGUAUGGAUUCAUAAAUACAUAAAUAUAUUUCACAUACUAG
Long non-coding RNA from Notolabrus celidotus (New Zealand spotty), 820 nucleotides. RefSeq lists it as uncharacterized. The record is from RefSeq and is a predicted model, not a curated record. The transcript has 3 exons. Lineage: Eukaryota; Metazoa; Chordata; Actinopteri; Labriformes; Labridae.